RNAcentral lists this transfer RNA (71 nucleotides) under Storeatula sp. CCMP1868. RNAcentral describes it as "tRNA-Met". It matches the Rfam family "tRNA". From Rfam's summary of the family: Transfer RNA (tRNA) molecules are approximately 80 nucleotides in length. Their secondary structure includes four short double-helical elements and three loops (D, anti-codon, and T loops). The record is from RNAcentral. Lineage: Eukaryota; Cryptophyceae; Pyrenomonadales; Pyrenomonadaceae.
AGUGGAGUAGAGUAACGGUAACUCGUUAGGUUCAUAUUCUAAAAAUACUGGUUCAAAUCCAGUCUCCGCUA